Molecule: non-coding RNA, 80 nt
Organism: Lupinus albus (white lupine)
Lineage: Eukaryota; Viridiplantae; Streptophyta; Magnoliopsida; Fabales; Fabaceae
Source: the annotation of a GenBank genome assembly
AUCCGUUGUAGUCUAGUUGGUCAGGAUAUUCGGCUCUCACCCGAAAGACCCGGGUUCAAGUCCCGGCAACGGAAAUUUCG